UGGGCUGGUCAGACGUGACAGGAAUAAACUCACUCAGGAAGUGGCGGUAGUGUACAGUGAGUACAAACGAUCGCGGAGUAAACCUAUAUGUGACUGACUAAAAUGUGCGCUUUCUAUCAUAGCUUCAUAAACUGACAGCAUUGUCACGGAGUCUGGUGAUUAACUGAGAACUAGCGCGUAGCUAAUGGAUCCAGGUAGUUAAACGAAGGCACAAGCACAGGGAGUUAGUAAGUGAUUGAGUUACCUCAGUCUGCCAAGCACCCAGCACAGGGACCAGACUAACUGGCUUGAGUUUGAUCUUCCAACGCUAGCCGUUUUUAAUUAAGUGGAAAUUAUUCGUGGGGCAGCACGGAACCGGCAUUACAGAUGUCAAGGUGCUGAAAGGGAUGACUGUCUGCAGUAGUCUUUAGGGGGUCAAGGGUGAAAGUGGAGGGGUCAGGGGCCAUGAACUCUGUGUCCCCCAGCUCGGCCCAGUAUGUCGGGGGAGGCGAGAGCUCGGAGAUGAAGGGGGGCCACUUUGGGCACGUUACCGAUGGCAACCGGAACGAGGGGGAACCAGACGAGGUGGACCGACUGAAGACAAAACUGAUGUCGGCCUGGAACAGCGUGAAAUACGGCUGGUCAGUGAAGUCCAAAACCUCCUUCAACAGGACCUCUCCCCUAUAUCUGCUGGGGCAUUCCUAUCUGUUCAACCAUGAAGAUGAGGUGGAGAGGUUUUCCCUGGCCUUUGUGUCCCGCCUCUGGUUGACCUACAGGAAGGACUUUGCUCCCCUGGAGGGGGCGGGGCUAACCUCUGACUGUGGGUGGGGCUGUAUGCUGCGCAGCGGACAGAUGCUCCUCGCCCAGGGACUACUGACACACCUGCUGCCAUCAGACUGGCAGUGGCCUGCUUCUCCGCCCCUGACAGACGUGGACUUUGAGCUCUUCCGGCCGCGUUCCCCCUCCAAGACCCUAGGAGGCGUCAGCAUCCCCUCCCUCUCCUCCUUCCCCCCGCAGUGGAGCUCCAGCGCCCCCCCCGCGCCCCCCGAACACCCCCCCAGGCCGGCGGGGGACCCCCAGAGCCAGGCCCUGCACCGGAGACUGGUGGCCUGGUUUGGGGAUCACCCGGCUGCACCGUUCAGCCUCCACCAGCUGGUGGCGCUAGGGAGGAGUGCCGGGCGGAGGGCGGGGGAUUGGUACGGCCCGUCUGUGGUGGCACAUAUACUCAGGAAAGCUGUGUCGUCUACUGCUGAGGUGCAGAAUCUGGCAGUGUAUGUGGCUCAGGACUGCACAGUGUAUAAAGAAGAUGUGGUGCGUGUGUGUGAGGACGCCCCAAGCUGGAAGUCCGUCAUCAUCCUGGUCCCGGUCCGACUGGGUGGAGAAACACUCAACCCCACCUACAUCCAGUGUGUCAAAAACAUUCUGAAGUUGGAAUGCUGUAUCGGAAUCAUCGGUGGAAAGCCGAAACACUCCUUGUUCUUCAUUGGCAUCCAAGAUGAGCAGCUGCUGUACUUGGACCCGCACUACUGUCAGCCCGUGGUGGACGUCACCCAGAGCAACUUCUCCCUGGAGUCGUUCCACUGUACCUCUCCCAGGAAGAUGAGUGUGAGUCGAAUGGACCCCAGCUGCACCAUCGGCUUCUACGCCCGCAGCAAGAAGGACUUCGAGUCGCUGUGCUCUGCCGUGGAAGUGGCUCUCUCCUCCUCUAAGGAGAAGUACCCCAUCUUCACCUUCGUGGACAGGGGGAGUCAGGACUUUGGAUUGGAUGACAUUCACGAUGUUCCGCCCCCUCACAUCCUGCCACCCAAUCAGAUGGCCGGGAGUAAAAAGCGUGGUAGCGCUGACGAAUUUGUCCUGCUGUGACGACGGCGUCUCUUGAGGGACACACUGAACUGAAAUGGCAGAUGCAGCUGCCUCAUGGAGAACUUGCUGUACUAAGGCAGAGUUGUGUGUGUGUGUGUGUGUGUGUGUGUGUGUGUGUGUGUGUGUGUGUGUGUGUGUGUGUGUGUGUGUCUGUCUGCGGCAGCGUCGUAAAUUACCUGUGACGAGUUUCCCUAAUCUGUGUCUGUGAUA
Clupea harengus (Atlantic herring) is the source of this 2052-nucleotide RNA transcript. It is a transcript of the gene named autophagy related 4D, cysteine peptidase a, with no coding region annotated. NCBI's taxonomy places the organism in Eukaryota, Metazoa, Chordata, Actinopteri, Clupeiformes, Clupeidae. The transcript is spliced from 12 exons. The record is from RefSeq and is a predicted model, not a curated record.